CAGCAGCCACGGUAAUACGUAGGGAGCAAGCGUUAAUCGGAAUUACUGGGCGUAAAGCGUGCGCAGGCGGUUUGUAAGACAGGUGUGAAAUCCCCGGGCUUAACCUGGGAACUGCGCUUGUGACUGCACAGCUAGAGUAUGGCAGAGGGGGUGGAAUUCCACGUGUAGCGGUGAAAUGCGUAGAGAUGUGGAGGAACACCGAUGGCGAAGGCAGCCCCCUGGGCCAAUACUGACGCUCAUGCACGAAAGCGUGGGGAGCAAACAGGGUUAGAGACCCCCGUAGUCCCUGUCUCUUAUACAC
This 301-nucleotide ribosomal RNA is filed under the name uncultured bacterium. RNAcentral describes it as "partial 16S ribosomal RNA". It matches the Rfam family "Bacterial small subunit ribosomal RNA", at positions 509 to 809 of the family's 1533-position model. The record is from RNAcentral.